Molecule: ribosomal RNA, 484 nt
Filed under: uncultured bacterium
Lineage: Bacteria
Description: partial 16S ribosomal RNA
Rfam family: Bacterial small subunit ribosomal RNA
Source: RNAcentral
AUUGAACGCUGGCGGCAGGCCUAACACAUGCAAGUCGAGCGGAUGAAGGGAGCUUGCUCCUGGAUUCAGCGGCGGACGGGUGAGUAAUGCCUAGGAAUCUGCCUGGUAGUGGGGGAUAACGUCCGGAAACGGGCGCUAAUACCGCAUACGUCCUGAGGGAGAAAGUGGGGGAUCUUCGGACCUCACGCUAUCAGAUGAGCCUAGGUCGGAUUAGCUAGUUGGUGGGGUAAAGGCCUACCAAGGCGACGAUCCGUAACUGAUCUGAGAGGAUGAUCAGUCACACUGGAACUGAGACACGGUACAGACUCCUACGGGAGGCAGCAGUAGGGAAUCUUCGGCAAUGGGCGAAAGCCUGAUGGAGCAACGACGCGUGAGUGAAGAAGGUCUUCGGAUUGUAAAACUCUGUUAUUAGGGAAGAAGAAAUGUGUAAGAAAAUAUGACUGUCUUGACGGUACCUACUGAGAAAGCCACGGCUAACUACGUG